This 29-nucleotide non-coding RNA is filed under the name Homo sapiens (human). The record is from RNAcentral. Lineage: Eukaryota; Metazoa; Chordata; Mammalia; Primates; Hominidae.
UGCAAGAAGAAACACACGCUGCUGUGCCC